UCUCAUGCUCUCAUGUAAUGCAACACAUCACAACUAGUCACAUCAAGGAUGGUAUUGUCACCAAUAGUCCUCUACAUUCCAAAGUGCCGGGACGUAGAAUGGGUCAACCGGUCUUUCUCUUAAACAUAUCAUAACAUAACAUUCCAAGAUGCCGGGACGUAGAAUGGGUUAACCGGUCUUUCUCUUACAUAGUGUCGGGACGUAGAAUGGGUCAACCGGACUUUCAUACCAUAUCAUGCCGUAUCAUCAUCAUAUCAUAUCAUAUGAGGACUAAAGGAUCAUUCAAUAACCAAUCCGCAUCAACAUCAUAAAAUACAAUGCAACAUAUUCGUGAAUUCUAAUGCAAACAACCUA
This 354-nucleotide long non-coding RNA is filed under the name Manihot esculenta (cassava). RNAcentral's name for it is "long non-coding RNA (MESC_LNC001846)". The record is from RNAcentral. Lineage: Eukaryota; Viridiplantae; Streptophyta; Magnoliopsida; Malpighiales; Euphorbiaceae.